CUCGUAGGCGGUCUGUCGCGUCGGAUGUGAAAGCCCGGGGCUUAACCCCGGGUCUGCAUUCGAUACGGGCAGACUAGAGUGUGGUAGGGGAGAUCGGAAUUCCUGGUGUAGCGGUGAAAUGCGCAGAUAUCAGGAGGAACACCGGUGGCGAAGGCGGAUCUCUGGGCCAUUACUGACGCUGAGGAGCGAAAGCGUGGGGAGCGAACA
Molecule: ribosomal RNA, 207 nt
Filed under: uncultured bacterium
Lineage: Bacteria
Description: partial 16S ribosomal RNA
Rfam family: Bacterial small subunit ribosomal RNA
Source: RNAcentral